UGGCCCUGAGAUCGAAUGAGCACCCUGAAAAGUUUUGUCCAGCUUAUUUCUUAUCAGAGUCUGCGCUCCAUGGUGACGUCAUCAAAUUUCGAUCGGAUGGAUAGAUUAAAAUUAUACGGGAAACAAGUAGAGUUGUCAAAUUUCAACAUGACUCAACUCUUCGUUUAUUUAAUUUCUUCAUUCUAAUUGAUUGUAAUUGGAAGCGUGGUAUUAUUUCAAACUUUAUUUGUGCCGGGUAAAUGCACUGCACUAUUGCACUAAAUACAACAAGGUCCAAUUUCUGAUUUCUUUGUUCACGCUUCCAUUUACCGAUAUAUAAUUUUCAAAUAAAUUCACGAUGAAGGUAAAAUUUAUGAGCACAGUGUUUAGUGCAGUUGCCAUUUUGGGCAUGUAUUGUUCACCAGCCGAGUCCAUCCAUUUCAACACAGAAGACCUAUCAGAGGACAAACUAAGAAAUCUUGGAGAAGAGGAAAUACUAAAGGAAGCAAGUGAAAUACGAGCAAACGCGAAGACUUAUUUAGACGCCCUGAGCAUUUUCGACUUGACUAGCAACCGGUCUUUCGGAAAUAGCUGCGCGCGCCUUGCAAAAUCUAUCAAACCCAUAAUCUCGACUGUGAAAGAUUUUGAGCGGGAAUACAGCGCACCGCUCUAUGUGUACCCAAGCUGGAAACCAGAAAUAUUCCCAGAGGUAUAUUUUCGAUUUUUUCCGUUCGGGAGUAGCCCCAAUGAUGAGACUGAUAUUGACGUGGUCAUCCGAAGGAAGGAUGGAACUCUUUUCGCAUUCAAAAGCUAUCUGUCGUUUGGUCAUGAGACUGCUGCCGGAAUUUUGUAUCGGAUCGGAACCAAGAACGUGUCGGGGUGGUUCCUUCGAGGACUCAAAAAGCCAAUCACGCACACGGUGGUUGCAGGGAUCGAGUUUCUUCAAGACGCUAUCCGAUUUUCGUUCCUGAGGGAAAGACAGGAUCAAACGCAGCCUCUGGUUGUUGAAGUCGUAAGAACGAGCUGAUAUGGGAUUUUAGUCCAAGUUCCAGCGAAUCCGGUUUACUUAGCGUGGACCUGAUUUUACUUCGAAAUCAUCGGGUCAGUUGCGUUCUUUUUGCGUAAAUGUUACCUUGAGGUUACGUGUCGGUCUCUUGGUGAAUUCUUUAAUUCUAAAUUGAUGGUUUGAGUAGGCAAUGGAUCAGCUGCGCUGGACACAUAAUCGUGUUAUGAUGCUUAAUUCUUAUAAAUUAGCUCAAAAUAAUAAUAUCUGUCAAAGCAGCAACGUUAUACGUUCAAUAUUAACAGAGAUAUCGCCUUUUGAAGAGUCGGGUUUUUGACGUCAUCCACCGCGGUAGUGACACCCUUGGUUCCUUCAAACUUCUUUUCAUCAGUCAGGGAGACACACAUUUACACUGGUUGUUCAACGUGACACUCGGAUGAAUGCGAGGUUGAAGAGGCCAAGGAUGUCACUACCGCGGUGGAUGACGUCAUAAACCGAAUUUUCAAAGCACGACGUCUCCGUCAAUAUGAAACGCAGAAAGUUGCUGAUAGGGCAGAUCUUAUUAUUUUUAACUUAUCUACAAGAAUCAAGCAACAAAACACGAUUCUGUGACUAGCGCAACUGACCCAUUGCUGGAAAAACAUACCUGCAGCUCGAUUAUGUCGGCCUGACAUGACAAGACAUAUCCCUAUCUUAAUCUCGUAGUAUAUCGCAAUGCGAUGUCUUAUCGGGCCGCUUUAAACUUUUAAUAAUCGGCUCGCUGGAGUGAAGAAAUUUUCAAUAUCACGGGUAGUGUUAGAAAUGCCAGUGGUUUCAGCAGGAAAUCCUCACUUUUGUCAAUUAUUAAAUAUUAAUUGGACGUAUUUCUACCAAACAGACCUAUGUGGAGGUGAGAAAUAUGGGGUGUGCUGUAGAAAGCUGCAUAAGAAGCAGUGUAAAAGUGGGCGUGAUUCCUUUUGAAGAAUUGGAAGAGCGGGAUAUUAGAUUCUAUCAACCAGACCUAUGUGUCAACUGAAUGCGGAAUUCAUGAGCCGCGGGCAUGGGAAGAGAGCGUUGUGGACAGGGCUCAUGAGUUAAAGACGAGCGAGAGCGACGACGAGGACGGCUUCGUUGCCGCUGACGUCACUGGCGCUUUCUUAUUCUCAUUCACUCUUACGCAAAGAGAACUAACGAGCACACCCCAUAUUUCUCACCUCCACAUAGGUCUGUUUGAUAGAAAUGCGUCCAAUUGUAACUUCCAAUGCAGAGACCAGUUUGAGGCUUUUUUUAUGUUGAACUUUUGAAGCAGGUCGCAAAUUAAUCGGAGCUAUAUCUGCGGUUAGGAUCGCUCGAACGAGCUGCAAGCGUGCUCUCGACGCUUGAUUAAGAAACGUGAAAAAAAAUCCUAAUAGGAGUGAGCUUGCGAACUUCGCCUUCUCCGCUCUCAUUUUCCGCUUGUUUUUUUCUCCCGAACUGACCACCAUUAGAAGAUUAAAAUCGAUACAGCUGCUCAACGCUCGCAAGGAGAACGGGGACACGUCCAGGUUUUAAAAAAGGUCGAGCGAGAUCGGCAGAACCUGGGAUAACUAAUAUCGAACGUAGCUACUUGCAAUCAUAUCUCUUUAUUAGUUGAAAAGUCGUUUUAUUGACGAUUGAUAUAAGGUACAGAAACAGACACAAUAAAUGAAAACUAAGUGUAUUUUUUUUUGUCGCACUAGGUGAUUUUAAAAUUUCCUAGGAAGCACCUAGAUCCGUUGAAAUGUUUUGCCUCACAACAAAACUGCACAAGAAAAAUUUGUAAGAGCGUGUGUAUGAAAACAAACAAAAUGCCUAGGACGUUUUGGGGUGGUUUCAACCUCCUUUUGACCAGGAAAUUGAAAUAAAAGGUGUGUUUUUUGCUACCAAAAAUGGGAGCUAAGGGUUUUUGUUUUGUUGUAUUUUUGUUUUUGUUUCCCUCUCAAAAAGGUGGUUGAAACUACCCCGAAACGUUUCAGGUAUUUUUUUCCUAGCCUUGAUUUCUUUUUUUAUUGUGGUUGUUUUCGUUAAAUUAUUCGGGCCAUCUUUGUAUACUUUUCUUUAGCAUCAAAUGUUCGCUGAAAGUGUAAAAUGAAUGGAAACAUACAGAAUUAUGAUUAUUUCACCACGAGUAAAAUUAUUUUCAGUCGCUAGGCCCGAAUCUUGAAUUCCCUUUUUUUUCAUACUUUUGUACAUGAGAUCUGGUCUCAAGAGAGUUAUUAUAUGAUGUAAUGUAUUAGAAUGAAUCCAUAUGACUGCUUGAUUGCCUCAUACGAAGGAUUACCAAAUUCACUGAAACCGCCUCUGUUUCGUUGAAUAUACAAUUUGAAUUCAUGGGAGUAGGAAUAGUUGCUCAUGAUCAAAGCGUACUUCCGGCAAAAACCACUUAGGCCAGCUUAGACAGACAUUUCGGUAACGAUUUACCGCGGUCUCUCAUAGUUUCUUCGUUUUAUUGCGUAUGCAAUUUGAUCUUCAGGAGGUUUAAAAAUUGCUCACGGUCAAUUAUAAUCUCGACACUAGGCCCCUUGAAUGAUACACGACAUCUCGGCAAACGAGCCGCUGCGGUCAAUCGAAGCUCCUUCAUUUCGUCGGAUAUGCAAUUUGAUCUCCGGGGAGUUCCAAUAUUUCUUCUAUUUGUAAUCAAAUGGUACAAUCAAAUUGUUCUCUCGGCACACUCCUUAAACGACAUCCCUGCAACUUGCAGGUUGCAAGUUGGUAACGGCCAAAUCAUAGCCCUGCCAACGGCCUGCUCAUAGCAUGAAUUUAUCACCGACUACUAACUGCGGUCACUCAAAUUCCCUCAUUUCGUUUUACAUGCAGUUUAUUUUCCGAGGCGUCAAAACACUUGCUCGAAGACAAGCUGAACGACAGUAUUCUCAGUUAAACGUAUUUAUGCUAAAAGGAACUAUGUGCAUAGAGUUUGCGUGUAACAUAGUUCCUUUUAGCAUAAAUGAAGCUAAGAGGAACUAUAAGCAUAGGGUUUUAACUGUAACAUAGUUCCUUUUAGCAUAAACAAGUUCAAUUUAAUCACUACGCAACAUGAAAUUGGACGUAUUUAUGCUAAAAGGAACUAUGUGCAUAGAGUUUGCGUGUAACAUAGUUCCUUGUAGCAUAAAUAUGUCCAAUUGAAGAUCACAGUUGCUACUUUAUCUUGAGUUACUGUGCAGUUGCAGCUGUAAUUGCAACUUUAUGAAAACUUGAAAGAACUGAGUAAUAAUGAUGACGUAUGUAGAGCGAUUUAUCAAAAAAACAUGUAAACGUGCUUAUCUGUUCAAGAGUAAUUCCUUUUAAAUAAAUUCUCGGUGCCAAUGGAAUUCUACAUAAAAUUAUAAUAGCUGUAUUGAAUCUAAUUUUUGAAAUUAUUAAGUUUCUUCUAAUUCUAGAAAUCUUGUUUCCUGUUGCUUGUAACUUCUAAACAAUGACAAUAAAACUUGUGUGCAACCGAUGGGAAACCCUAAAUAUGGAUUUUUGAAUCCGAGCGUUGUCGGAUACCGAUUUUUUUAUUAUUUCUCC
This 4489-nucleotide long non-coding RNA is filed under the name Bemisia tabaci. RNAcentral describes it as "lncRNA ENSSSA3NGG003514". Lineage: Eukaryota; Metazoa; Arthropoda; Insecta; Hemiptera; Aleyrodidae. The record is from RNAcentral.